CGAAGCGUACACGGUGGAUGCCCUGGCAGUCAGAGGCGAUGAAGGGCGUGCUAAUCUGCGAUAAGCGCCGGUAAGGUGAUAUGAACCGUUAUAACCGGCGAUACCCGAAUGGGGAAACCCAGUGUGAUUCGUCACACUAUCAUUAACUGAAUCCAUAGGUUAAUGAGGCGAACCGGGGGAACUGAAACAUCUAAGUACCCCGAGGAAAAGAAAUCAACCGAGAUUCCCCCA
RNAcentral lists this ribosomal RNA (231 nucleotides) under Salmonella enterica subsp. enterica serovar Cerro. RNAcentral's name for it is "partial 23S ribosomal RNA". It matches the Rfam family "Bacterial large subunit ribosomal RNA", at positions 13 to 242 of the family's 2925-position model. The record is from RNAcentral. Lineage: Bacteria; Pseudomonadati; Pseudomonadota; Gammaproteobacteria; Enterobacterales; Enterobacteriaceae.